This 32-nucleotide non-coding RNA is filed under the name Homo sapiens (human). Lineage: Eukaryota; Metazoa; Chordata; Mammalia; Primates; Hominidae. The record is from RNAcentral.
UGGGUGCUGAUGCUGUCAAUAAGCCACACGCA